AUGGUGGAGGCAUUAGUUUGUGGUGCAAGUUAUAUCAAGGGUGCUCACGUUGACUUGAAUCUGGUGCCGAGGGAUGAGAAUGAAGAGGAUGAUGUUGAGACCAUCAAGUUACCCAUUGUGGUGGAGGAGAUCAACGAUUGACGUUCAUCAUGUGGAUGUUGAUCUUGCUAUUCUGGAGAUGGAUGU
Long non-coding RNA from Triticum aestivum (bread wheat), 186 nucleotides. RefSeq lists it as uncharacterized. The record is from RefSeq and is a predicted model, not a curated record. NCBI's taxonomy places the organism in Eukaryota, Viridiplantae, Streptophyta, Magnoliopsida, Poales, Poaceae. The transcript has 3 exons.